This is a long non-coding RNA of Bemisia tabaci, 837 nucleotides long. RefSeq lists it as uncharacterized. Lineage: Eukaryota; Metazoa; Arthropoda; Insecta; Hemiptera; Aleyrodidae. The record is from RefSeq and is a predicted model, not a curated record.
UCUAGCGAUUUAGGGACAGAAACCGCCACCACGUCGCGCUGCUACGUGAGCGAGUCUUUGAGAGUGAAUAAUUAACUAAGACUUGAAAUUCAUGCAAAAAAUCGACCGAAUACGCGUAGCAGCAUACAUUCUGAGUAGAAUGAUACCAAAUUUGUGGGUAUUAUUUGCAAAAAUAUACCCGAAUUUAUGCAGACCGAUUUCUUUAUGGGCGGCUCAAUGUGUAAGAGAGAGAUAGCAUGCUGUGACGUUUGUUUACAUCUGGUCGCUUCCCUCCCCCCCCUUGAGGAAAGUAAGGAAGUUCGGCCGGCGAUGGAUGAAAUUCCUUUCCUAGCCAUUCCUAGCCUCGGAGACCUGAGAUCGGGUUCUGCUGUUAUCAAAGUGUGUUCAAUGUGAGGUUAGAUGAUUUGUAUUUGAACGAAGAUUUUAUCGAAAAGAAAACAAUUUCAUCAGAGUGCUGAAGUGUUGUGGGAAUAUUUUACAGUCGUGAAUCUGGGGUGAAUUUGAAUUACCUACUUUGUACUUUUAUUCAUCCAGCUAAAUAAUUGUGCAACAUCUAAGGAUUUCCUCUCAAGGAACUGUACCCACAAAUGAUGGAAACAUGACAUGCACAGGAUUGUGGAUACCAGCCUACUAAUGCUUCUCAGGUCUUGCUGGAAGGAUGCCUUUUCUUUUCGGAUUCCCAAACAAGAUCAAUUCUCUGGCUGAGAUGUAACACUUUAACAAUUUGCUACAUUUAUGUAACAUGUCUAAAAAGCUCUACAUCAACUAGAUGAUAAGUAUUACUUUAGUACACUCCUGUAUUUAAAUUCAAAUAAUACAAAAUAUUCUUUCAUCGUA